RNA transcript from Siniperca chuatsi (mandarin fish), 5664 nucleotides. It is a transcript of the gene named putative zinc finger protein 833, with no coding region annotated. The record is from RefSeq and is a predicted model, not a curated record. The transcript is spliced from 2 exons. Lineage: Eukaryota; Metazoa; Chordata; Actinopteri; Centrarchiformes; Sinipercidae.
UGAACGAAGAAGAAGAAUGGUGAGUGGAAGCUAAGGAGAGAGAACAGAGAAGAGUAGAAAGGUAAUAGUAUAUGCUCCUCUGUCUUUGACUAAGUUAGUACUUCACGAUAGCACACCGGCUUUUAAGUCCAACUCUAUAAGUGCAGCAGUUUCCAGCAUCUUGCUAACUUUGUGUUAAGCUGGGCUGCUACUGUGUUACGGCGGUAGCGUUGGGAAACUUAUAUUAGACUGUAUUCGGAACCGCCUACUACAUACUACAGACGAACGCAGUAUGUACUACAUAACGUUACUGCUUACUGCUUUUCAUAGUAGUAUGCAGUAUGAAACGGUUGAAUCGAUUUAUUUUGCAGUAUGCAAGGCCAGGCUUAGUCGGUUUACGGUUUUGGAAAGCGGAAUUAAACAAUAUCAAUUAGAAGAAUAUAACCACUUAUAAACAUUUUUUCGAAUUUAAUCUUGUCUAAGGAGAACAGUUCACAUUUGGAUUAGGCUACAGCCUAUCCGUAACGAACGCAUCACUACAUUUGUCCUACUAACGUUACCCAUAACAAAGCCAUAACGUUUAAGUUAAGAUAAAAAAAAACUGUUGUUGUGACCAUAGACUGUAUAAAACAUGGACGUAGUGUCCGUGACGUCACCCAUAGGUUUCUGAAGAGGUUUUGAAGCUCAAAGUGGGCGGCGCCGGGCGUUGCUGGCUGUCGCCAUCUUGGCAGUGCGUAACUUUGACCAACUCCCGGAUAACCAAAAAUGGGCAAAGAGGUGGGGCGUUGGUGGAGCUGAGGUGCCUUGUUACUGAAACACGCCCACCUAGCUCGACGUUACCAAGCUAGCUAAGGCUAAGAAGCUAGGCUAUAUGCUACUCUGCGGUGCUAGCCGGCUAACCCUGUGGUAUGCGGUUGGCGGUCUGUGGAUGGUACCCUGAUGGUACCUAGUUGUCGUCCCAGUUUACUUUUGAGGUAAGUUAACCUGAAACUAUACAACAAUAAUGAAUGAAAUAAUGAUUUAUCUGUUAUUGAGAUUAUACUACACAAUAUUUAAAAUGCCUCAACAUUUUUUAAUAUAUAAUUAUGGUAAUUUGCAACACUACAUUCUGUCGACACUUGCAGAAAUAUGGCCAGUGUUACCGAGAAUUAGCGUAGUUUACUUAAUUCAUGUCUAAUGAACAAUUUGAAGCAAAUCAAUUAGCCUGAAUUUAGAUUUUCACAUAACUUUAGUUGCGAGUCAUUUAUUUGGAUGUCACUUGAUUAUAACGUUACUUUUAAUAAGUUAACGUUAAAUUAACGUUACCUACAUGUGAUUGCAUAGUCAUAAUUAUUAUUGCCACUUUUUUUUAGCCUUUUAAGGAAUUAUACCAUACCUGCAGUUCGCUUCUCAGUGCGGAUGCGUCAGUGCAGAACAGCUUAAGAAGAAAGAAAGCACUUUUAUUUUUGUUACAUGUUGCUUAUUUCUUUCAAUCCCUGUUGAGGGCAUGGCUCCUGUAAUGCCUCCACCAGGCCUGCUACACACAGCAUAAACUGUAAGUACUAGUCUUGGCUACUUGACUCUAGACAGCUGAUUUUACAUUUUCUGUCUUCAAAGGCCAACAAUAACAAAAAAUGUUAGACUGUCAUCUAUAUUUUGAAGUGUUGCUCCCUUGUUCCAUUUUCUCCUACAGAUGUGACAUAAUAGUAUUGUAAACAUGAAAAACUGAGCCACCCUUUUUAUAAUUUUCAUUACCUGAAGCAUUUAUUACACUACACAAUUUAUUUUCCGACCAUAAUCACAGUGUUGAUCUGCGAGGAAGAGCAACACUGGAUGUCUUCAUCAUCCACUGUGGCGGCAACGGCAUGGGGAUGUCAGCAGCGUCAAUCUGGUCAACAUGAUAGAGGAGGACUUGCACCAGCUUCACCUCCAGCACCUUGUCACGAAGAUCAUGUUUUUGUCUGUGACCCAAAAGGUGCCGGUGGAAGGCUGGUGCUAAUCCAGUGAAGCUCAACAAGGCCAGGAUAUUUGUUCAUAGUGUUAUAGCUACAUUUCGUAGCUUAAAUGGUGUUAUGAUUGAGCACUCUCACAUUAGACAUGACAGUCUUGGGCUCUUUUUGAAAGAUGGAGUUCAUUUCACACCUAGAAGAAAUUAUGUUUUUAAGUACAAUAGCUAAUUGCCUUAAAGACCACUUCCAAACGCAGUGAACUGCUUACAGUUGGCAAUGUCACUGCUUUUAAAUUUGGCCUUUAGGGCCCAUUUUAUUACACCUAAACAUAGCCCUGACCGUCAUGGCUAAUGUUGGGUUUAUUUUUUAUGUUAAUUAUGGUUGUUAAAAAAUAACAUCUGUAUCCAUAACACUGUUACCACCUCUGCUCUUCCUCAUUCCUACAAUCCCACCCUUUAUCCCCUUUUCACCCUACCACCCCACCACCCCAUGGACUCUGCAGCUCUCUGGGCAUAGCCAUUAACUAGACCCAGACCCAGUUUGUUGAUUUUAUUUUAAUAAAUGUGUUUACUUUUACAUUUAUAGUUAGUAUAUAUUGUCCACCUUUUUGUUUUUUAUGUCCUUUCUUAUUAAAAAAACAUGGUUCAUAUUUGAAAAAAUUCUAUUUAUAUUUGUACUCCUUUUGUCUUUAUUACUGACUAAAAAUGUUAGAUUUCACAUUUAAAUCUGACUUACCUGCACACUGAGUAGUUAUGAAUCCCCCUGGGAGGUAUCAUUUAUUUGCAACGUUGCAAACUCUGAGAAGGUCUUCCUCAGGUAAAUACACAGGUAUUGAUUCUGAGGCUUAUAUAGUGAGGCAAAAAGGAACAAUCAGCUGAUCGAAUGCAUCUGUAGCAAAUAGGUGCAUUCGAUCAGCCAUGUUUUUUUUCUUUUGCCUCAUUAUACAGUAUUGGCCUCACAAUACCUGUGCAAUACCCACAAAAGGCUUCUCAGAGAUAACGAAUGAAUGAAACCUCCUAGGGGGCUUCAAAACUAUUCAGUGUCCAAACAAAACCAGCACAUAACAUUAUCUUUUCAUUUUUUACUUUCUGGUAAGAUCUAUGGAAAAUGUUAACCUAUAAAUUAAAAUUAAAAUUUUUACAUUUUCAUUUAUAACUAUUAACUAUUAUUGUUAAAAGUUAGAUCACCACUAUAUUUCCAAUUAACAUAUGAAAGUGAUGAACGACAGCUUUUAAGAAUGUGCUUUUACUCUAAAGUAUAUUUCGUCAGAUCCAUUUUAUAUAACCAAAAUGUACCAUUACACAAGCAAAAGUUUAAUAAAUUGAAAUUAUAUCUUGCAUUCAUGAAAACAUCAAUAUUAAAGGUUAAAAUUUACAAAUUCUUUUGUAUGACUUCAGUACACUUGAAAUAAAUGAAAAGAUGUGCAAGACGACAGUAAUUAUAAUGAUAGAACCUAUGGAUAAUAACACUGUCAUAAUUUGGCAAAAUCUUUGUCUUGUGAAACAAGUGAUGGUUUCAACCUCUUAACCAUAGAGUACACAUCACAUUGGCCUAGGCGUUGUUACUUUCCUCAAGCGUCUGUCAUAACCCGGCCCAUAGGCCAUGACAAAAACGACACAGAAUGCAAAUAAAUACAAGUUAUUUAAUAUAAUAAAGAAAAUAAACUGAACUGUAACUUUGGAAAUGAGGUGUGUUAGUCAGUGAAAUCAAUUUUGUUCAUGUGGAUGUGUGUGGAUAGUGUAGAAUAAGGUGUAGUAAAUAAAAUGCUAAGCAAAGCAAUAGGGUGCAGGCGCUGACAGGGAAGAGAAGGAGUCACACUUGAAGCUGGGACUAUAUCCUGUAGAGCACUGUGCCCAGGUGCUCCAGAUCUGGUUGGAUACUGCAGUCUGGCACCUCAAAAGACAACAUGGGUAGACACAGUUACUGACAAAGCACACACCCAAGUAGACAGGACACGGAAGCGCUGCCUGCUUCCUUUUCCCAAAAGGAAGCUGCCUGCUUCAGACAGAGUGCACAGCUCACGCUCAGCACUAAUAGAUUUGGCUGAUGAUUAUUUUUUCCUCGUGCCACAAGCGAAUCUGGCAAGAAAACACACAGAUAAUCUAUUAUAAAUGAUAUAAAUUGAUAUUAUAUAUGAUAUAAAUGAUCUGAUUUUGAUAAAUAAUAUCCCAUGCUUGCCAACCCUUUUGAUUUCUCUGCCCCUCUCCCCGCUGUUCUCCUGGAGUGGUCCCCCCCACCCCACGAUAAAAUAUCAAGAUCUGCCCAUCCACUAUAUUUAUUAGACUUAUUCCACAUAUUUGUCAGUUGUCUCUAAACAGAGAGCAAGAAAGAUGGGCAGACACACAGGCCUAUGCUACCAACGCCUAGCUUCUUAGCCUAGCUUCUUAGCCUUAGCUAGCUUGGUAACGUCGAGCUAGGUGGGCGUGUUUCAGCAACCAGGCACCUCAGCUCCACCCACACUCCACGUCUUUGCCCAUUUUUGGUUAUCCAGGAGUUGGGCUGAGUGACGCGCUGCCAAAGUGGUGCCAGCCAACACCGCCCACUUUGAGCUUCAAAACGGCAUUUCAGAAACCUAUGGGUGACAUGAUGGACACUACGUCCAUGUUUUAUACAGUCUAUGGUUGUGACCAUUCCAGUCCUUUGUACUGUGGGACACAGUAUUGCGAGGUAGACUGGUCUGGUCAAGGCCCCAGGAAGCGUGCCAGGCUUUGAAGCCAAUUUAACAUAGAAGCCAUACCAUGUAAUUACAAUUCUGGGUCCGUCACAUGAUGCACAGAGGCCUGUCAGUGCCCGAUCUGUAGCGGCUGCCCGACCCGUUCUGUAAAUGUGCAAAACAGGUCCUCUAAGUAAAAGAAAGUUGGAAUUAUUCAUCAUAUUCAAUCAUUGGAAAUUUAAUAGUUCACUAUUAUGUAAUAGGAAAUUUACUGAAGUUAUAAAAAAGACCUGACACUUGUCAGUGCCCGAUACGUGCCAACACCACCUGCCUGAUCCAUGCUGCACAUAUACGUACUUAUUACUGACCGUUUUGUACCACGCAUUUGAGAACAUUUUACUUGACGACAGCUCAUGGAUGUAUAAGCCACCCAGCAAGUUUUUUAAAAAACAUUAACAACACAAUAUUAUAGUAGAGAUCGUAAUAGAAAACUCUGUAUCAGAGGAUUACACUGUGAUUUCAAAAUAAUGUAUUAUUUUUUGUAUUAUAUACUGUGAUGUAUAUUUACAACAGCUUUCAUAAUGACACACUAUCUGGAACAUGUAUUUUUCAUAUACUAAAUGAAUUAUAUUGAUUGAGCACAGAAUUAAAACAAAACAGAAUUACGUUGUUUUUUUAAUGUUUUUAAUUACAAACAAAGUAUGGAUUAUCUGAUCAUACAUGGACCAAACUAUUACAUUUCCAGUGAUUAAAAAACAUUUUGUUAUCUUGAGUGUGAGUAUGAUUGAAUGAUCAGUCAUUCACAUCACGAGUAAUUUUUAACAGGCACAUUUGCGGUAACCUCCGUUGACUGACAAAAGUAUUUUUGGGCACUGACAGGGCCUUUUUUCCAUAGGUUUAGUCUGUGUUCCAUUCCACAGUGUACAUAAACAGUACUCCCUCCUCCCUGUUCAGGGAAUUUCGGUUAAGGGAACUUCCUUCGACAAAAUUCCUCCAUUCGGAACAUCCUGCAACGUCACCAAUGCAGACUUCACUUCCUCUGUGCGUUGACAGGUGUCUGCCUCCAGAGCUGCAGAGACCGGAUCUGUGGUUGGGGGCCACCUG